UACGUAGGGUGCGAGCGUUGUCCGGAAUUAUUGGGCGUAAAGAGCUCGUAGGCGGUCUGUCGCGUCUGCUGUGAAAUCCCGAGGCUCAACCUCGGGCUUGCAGUGGGUACGGGCAGGCUAGAGUGCGGUAGGGGAGAAUGGAACUCCUGGUGUAGCGGUGGAAUGCGCAGAUAUCAGGAGGAACACCGGUGGCGAAGGCGGGUCUCUGGGCCGAUACUGACGCUGAGGAGCGAAAGCGUGGGGAGCGAACAGG
This 253-nucleotide ribosomal RNA is filed under the name uncultured bacterium. RNAcentral describes it as "partial 16S ribosomal RNA". It matches the Rfam family "Bacterial small subunit ribosomal RNA", at positions 524 to 776 of the family's 1533-position model. The record is from RNAcentral.